AUCCGUUUACUAUCCCUAUUAGAAUACUAUAUUAUAUUUUAUUUUUAUGUAAGAUGGGAUGAUUAUGUCCAUCUUAUAACAACAUGAUAUACCUUAUACAUUUCACAAAGAUAUUUUUGAUAAAAAUUUUUAAAAUAAAAUGUAAUAAGAUUAUAAUUUUUUAUCAUUACAUAAUGUCCAAAUCUACAACUAUAUCUAUUUUAUAUAAAUGUAC
RNAcentral lists this long non-coding RNA (214 nucleotides) under Elaeis guineensis (African oil palm). Its description in RNAcentral is "long non-coding RNA (EGUI_LNC021036)". Lineage: Eukaryota; Viridiplantae; Streptophyta; Magnoliopsida; Arecales; Arecaceae. The record is from RNAcentral.